UAAGGAAUAUUGGUCAAUGGAGGCAACUCUGAACCAGCCAUGCCGCGUGAAGGAUUAAGGCCCUCUGGGUUGUAAACUUCUUUUAUAUGGGAAGAAAUGUUCUGAUUCUUCAGAGCUUGACGGUACCAUAGGAAUAAGCACCGGCUAACUCCGUGCCAGCAGCCGCGGUAAUACGGAGGGUGCAAGCGUUAUCCGGAUUCACUGGGUUUAAAGGGUGCGUAGGUGGGCAGAUAAGUCAGUGGUGAAAUCUUCCGGCUUAACCGGAAAAUUGCCGUUGAUACUAUUUGUCUUGAAUAUUGUGGAGGUAAGCGGAAUAUGUCAUGUAGCGGUGAAAUGCUUAGAUAUGACAUAGAACACCAAUUACGAAGGCAGCUUACUAUAUAAUUAUUGACACUGAGGCACGAAAGCGUGGGUAGCGAACA
RNAcentral lists this ribosomal RNA (422 nucleotides) under uncultured bacterium. RNAcentral describes it as "bacterial SSU rRNA". It matches the Rfam family "Bacterial small subunit ribosomal RNA", at positions 355 to 774 of the family's 1533-position model. The record is from RNAcentral.